This 397-nucleotide ribosomal RNA is filed under the name uncultured marine bacterium. RNAcentral describes it as "bacterial SSU rRNA". It matches the Rfam family "Bacterial small subunit ribosomal RNA", at positions 94 to 488 of the family's 1533-position model. The record is from RNAcentral.
ACCGGCGCACGGGUGCGUAACGCGUAUGCAACUUGCCUCAAACUGGAAGAUAGCCCGGGGAAACCCGGAUUAAUACUCCAUAGUAUUCACUGAUCGCAUGGUCUGGUGAAUUAAAGCUCCGGCGGUUUGAGAUGGGCAUGCGUAACAUUAGCUUGUUGGUGAGGUAACGGCUCACCAAGGCAACGAUGUUUAGGGGGCCUGAGAGGGUGAUCCCCCACACUGGUACUGAGACACGGACCAGACUCCUACGGGAGGCAGCAGUGAGGAAUAUUGCGCAAUGGAGGAAACUCUGACGCAGCCAUGCCGCGUGCAGGAAGACGGCCCUACGGGUUGUAAACUGCUUUUAUUUGAAAAGAAACCCUGGUACGUGUACCGGGCUGACGGUAUCAAAUGAAUA